Nomascus leucogenys (northern white-cheeked gibbon) is the source of this 254-nucleotide unclassified non-coding RNA. Its record names the gene 7SK. It matches the Rfam family "7SK RNA". From Rfam's summary of the family: 7SK was discovered as an abundant small nuclear RNA in the mid-70s but a possible function has only recently been suggested. The record is from Ensembl. NCBI's taxonomy places the organism in Eukaryota, Metazoa, Chordata, Mammalia, Primates, Hylobatidae.
AAUUGUGGUGGUUCUGAAAUAUGUCCACAAAUUCUUUACCACUCCUCUGUUCAAGAGGUGGAUUGCAUGCUUGGUCAAAGAGGAUGACCUUCCCUGAUAGAGGAGGUCCUUUCUUUGGUCAAGGUUGUAUGAGUAGCUGCACUCCCCUGCUAGAAUCUCCAGACAAGCUCUCAAGAAACAGAGCCUAACUAGUGACUCAAUUCUGACGAAUCAAGUGGAAGUGACAGUCAUGAAAGGCAGUGCAGCCCCCUCCU